ACUGCUACAGUAGAAGCAUUGCAAGAGCUUUUUAGUGGUGAUGGACAGUCCAAAAGGGGACGCAGAGGACAAAUUGAGAUGCCUGUUCCUCCAAGCAUUUACCAAAGACUGACAUCCAGUUCUACUCUGCUGAAUUUGGCCCAGGCUCUAGCGUACCACAAGAUGUGUUAUGAAGAUAUGCCGCUGCAGGACCUUCAGGCAUCCCAAGAGCAGCAGACCAUUCAGAACCUCUGUGAUACUCUUCGUACUAUUC
Long non-coding RNA from Neltuma alba, 253 nucleotides. RefSeq lists it as uncharacterized. The transcript has 3 exons. Lineage: Eukaryota; Viridiplantae; Streptophyta; Magnoliopsida; Fabales; Fabaceae. The record is from RefSeq and is a predicted model, not a curated record.